RNAcentral lists this non-coding RNA (24 nucleotides) under Mus musculus (house mouse). The record is from RNAcentral. Lineage: Eukaryota; Metazoa; Chordata; Mammalia; Rodentia; Muridae.
UUAACUUCCCAUUGCCAGUGCCAG